Long non-coding RNA from Cynoglossus semilaevis (tongue sole), 2257 nucleotides. RefSeq lists it as uncharacterized. NCBI's taxonomy places the organism in Eukaryota, Metazoa, Chordata, Actinopteri, Pleuronectiformes, Cynoglossidae. The record is from RefSeq and is a predicted model, not a curated record. The transcript has 2 exons.
CUCUCUCUCUUACUCUCUUACUCUCUCUCUCUCUCUUCUCUCCGGUGUCUUCUUCUUAGCUCUGGGGGCAGAGAUUUAGUGCUUUCGGUCGCAUAUAAACCCGCAGCACAAAGUUUGGUGAUCAGUCAGGGGGAGCUAGAGAAUGUUCUCUAAAAAUUAAAACAAAACUCUCUCAGUGAUGCCACGGCGCGUGUGUGUUGAGUUGGGACGUGUGUUGGUGUUGGUGUGGAUUUGUGUUCGUAGAAUCAGAGGUAAAUGGGAAUGUGUUUGAUGUGUUCCAGUCAGCUGGAUACAAGAGCAGGAAGGCUUAUUAAGUACAAGGAAUAAAGUAAGAAAACAAAAACGACGAUAAUAAUUGGAAUUAAGAAAUGGAAGGGAAGAAAUUAGCAAAUGUAUAAAAGUAAAAGAUGAUGAUAGAAGUGAGGGAGAAAACGGGAAGAAGGAAGAGCUUUUUCCUUCUUUCCUCCCUUCCUUAUUUACUUAUCUGAUUUUUCGUUUACCUCAUUAUCACAAUCUUUUCAUUAUUAUUCUUUCCUUAACUGUGUGUGUUCUAUCUUUCUUUCAUUUUCCACUUAUUUUGUACCCCUUGUUUACGUAAAAUUACCUUACUUCUGUUUUCCCCUUUUCCCAUUUUUCGAAUUCUUUAACUAUUGUUAUCUUUUUUUCCUGCUCCUGGGUUCUUCUUCCAUUUUUUCACUAGCGCAUCCUUCUGUUUCUUCCAUUAUUUAUUUACAUUUCCUAUCCGCCACAUGCUUGUUUUUUGUUAUUUUCUAAUAGGCUAUAUUUUAAUUUGUUUAUCGGUGUAUGUGGUAGUCUGCGCGCGAGCACACGCAUCAGUCUGCUUGACCUCUGUUUCUUGUCUUCACGCUCGUUUUACCAAGAGUAGGUUAAAGUGACUACAGUGACACCUGCUGGCAGUUAUUGUAACCACAGUCAGAACUUCAUUACAUUUAAUAUAAUUGUGCAGUAUGGUAUGUGGCAUUAGUUUAGUCGUGUGUUUUUUCAAAUGCUCAUUCAAUUUCAUUUUUUGUUUGCGUUCUGUAUUUACAAAUAUUACAUAUUGGCCGGCCUCUUUAUUGGGUACACCUGUGUCUUGAUGUGUACCUGAUGAAGUUAUUUGAUAGACUAAUCACAUGACAGCAGCAACAACGAGGUUAAAACGACCUGUUCGACUUUAAACUGUGCACCACCAGGGCUGUUCGAGUGACGUGGGAUGUACUACAGGUGUCGGGACUGAGGCAAAUUAUGUGAAAACAUCCAUCCACCCAUCCACUCACCAUGGCCAGAUGGUGAUAGUGGUGAUGUAUGGGUGUGGAGAAUAUACUCGAAGCACACCUUUGCUCUGUAGUUUAAAGAACAUAACUUAAAUCUUACAAAAUGACUGACCAAAGUGUAAGAAAUUAUUUCAGAGUUUUGUUCAUUUAUCCCUUUAUAAGUUUUGUCAGUUUUAAAGAUCUCUGGUUAAUGUUCCUAGAUGGAAUCAACUGGAUAGAUUUACCCAAUCUAUCAGUGAGAGUAUACUUGAUGUUCUUUCCCAGCUUUAGUUACAUACGUGACCAGUCUGUGUCAGCAGUUUAGCUGUUCUUCAUCUGACCGUCAUCAGUUUUUGUCCCCUCCUUACAAUUUACAGAAAAACAUCUCUGUUUACAGUGUUAUAAGCAACACGCACUCCUCGUCUUUAUCUAAUGUGAAUGAUGGCCAUGUGUGGAAUGUAAGACAGGAUGUCUGCUGGCUGAGAUGUGAGUGGGCUGUGUUUAUGCUGCUGCUGUAAACACCUCAGUAUAACUACCAUAAUCUCCUUCAUUAUACUGCGUUUAGCAAACAGUGAUCCUCAGCUAGCUCAGACCUGUCAGUGUUGAGGAUGGAAACAAAUAUUUACCCUCCUGACAGGAAUCACAGUGGACUUUAAUCUGGAUCCCGAGAAAGAAGCGAAGAAAGACAAUGUUGCUUCAAACAGCGGUGUAGACCAUUGAACUUUUUUAUCUUUAAGAGAAAAAUAAGCAUAUUAAAGUAUACCAGUUUUUGAUAGAUAUUAUUUACUUUAUCUAGAUAAUAAUACCAUAUAUAUAUAUAAACUGUGUUGAUAUAAACAAGACUUGCACAAAAUUGACUUCAUAAAAACUUUUAUUUUUAAGCAUUUUUCUGCAACAUGUAUAAUGGAAUAGAGGUCAUAUAGAUCAUACUGAUCAUAAAAAGGUCAAGAAAUAACUGGCCUGAAAUAUCUGCAUAUCUGCAUGUCACUGACAUAAAAAAAAAA